RNAcentral lists this ribosomal RNA (223 nucleotides) under uncultured bacterium. Its description in RNAcentral is "partial 16S ribosomal RNA". It matches the Rfam family "Bacterial small subunit ribosomal RNA", at positions 111 to 334 of the family's 1533-position model. The record is from RNAcentral.
UAACGCGUGAGUAACCUGCCUCUAAGAGGGGAAUAACAUUCUGAAAAGAAAGCUAAUACCGCAUAACAUAUAUUUAUCGCAUGGUAGAUAUAUCAAAGAUUUAUCGCUUAGAGAUGGACUCGCGUCCGAUUAGUUAGUUGGUGAGGUAACGGCUCACCAAGACUGCGAUCGGUAGCCGGACUGAGAGGUUGAACGGCCACAUUGGGACUGAGACACGGCCCAG